Small nucleolar RNA from Hippopotamus amphibius kiboko, 67 nucleotides. RefSeq annotates it as small nucleolar RNA U54. NCBI's taxonomy places the organism in Eukaryota, Metazoa, Chordata, Mammalia, Artiodactyla, Hippopotamidae. The record is from RefSeq and is a predicted model, not a curated record. The transcript has a single exon.
UGGCGAUGAGGAGAGAGUUACGGUGUUGAGUGGCGGUGAUAGCUUUAUACGCUAUUCUGAGUCAGCG